AAAGAGGAUAAAUAAAAAUCUAAUGGUUACGGCGGUUGAGGCGAACAAAACCUUCAACAGAUCAUACCGCUUUUUAUUUACCAUUCAUCAAUUAUAGUCCGCAGUAGUUCGGACCAAAAAAAAAGAAAAACCGCAGCAAACCGUUUUUAUAUACAAAUAAAUUUGGUACGCACCGAUUUAUUGUCCGCCCAAAAAUAAAAUGGAUUAAACUGCAGAAAAAUUAGACCUUUUUGUCCGCCGCAUCCAUUCAAAGUUUAAGUGGGAAAGUUAAUUACUUAUUUAGUUGAUAUUCGUUUGGACGAGGGCUCCCGAACACAUCGUAAGCUAAAUCGGUGCUGACGAAUAACCAGCCC
This 353-nucleotide small RNA is filed under the name Arabidopsis thaliana (thale cress). RNAcentral's name for it is "ATSL219190". Lineage: Eukaryota; Viridiplantae; Streptophyta; Magnoliopsida; Brassicales; Brassicaceae. The record is from RNAcentral.